AUUUACUGGGGCGAAAGCGCGCGUAGGCGGCUAAUUAAGUCAAAUGUGAAAUCCCCGAGCUUAACUUGGGAAUUGCAUUCGAUACUGGUUAGCUAGAGUGUGGGAGAGGAUGGUAGAAUUCCAGGUGUAGCGGUGAAAUGCGUAGAGAUCUGGAGGAAUACCGAUGGCGAAGGCAGCCAUCUGGCCUAACACUGACGCUGAGGUGCGAAAGCAUGGGGAGCAAACAGGAUUAGAUACCCUGGUAGUCCAUGCCGUAAACGAUGUCUACUAGCCGUUGGGGCCUUUGAGGCUUUAGUGGCGCAGCUAACGCGAUAAGUAGACCGCCUGGGGAGUACGGUCGCAAGACUAAAAACUCAAAUGAAUUGACGGGGGCCCGCACAAGCGGUGGAGCAUGUGGUUUAAUUCGAUGCAACGCGAAGAACCUUACCUGGCCUUGACAUAGUAAGAACUUUCCAGAGAUGGAUUGGUGCCUUCGGGGAACUUACAUACAGGGUGCUGCAUGGGCUGUCGUCAGCUCGUGUCGUGAGAUGUUGGGUUAAGUCCCGCACGAGCGCAACCCUUUUCCUUAUUUGCCAGCGAGUAAUGUCGGGAACUUUAAGGGAUACUGCCAGUGACAAACUGGA
RNAcentral lists this ribosomal RNA (623 nucleotides) under Acinetobacter nosocomialis. Its description in RNAcentral is "bacterial SSU rRNA". It matches the Rfam family "Bacterial small subunit ribosomal RNA", at positions 549 to 1167 of the family's 1533-position model. Lineage: Bacteria; Pseudomonadati; Pseudomonadota; Gammaproteobacteria; Moraxellales; Moraxellaceae. The record is from RNAcentral.